This 369-nucleotide unclassified non-coding RNA is filed under the name soil metagenome. RNAcentral's name for it is "partial contains 5.8S ribosomal RNA, internal transcribed spacer 2, and large subunit ribosomal RNA". The stretch from base 1 to 121 matches the Rfam family "5.8S ribosomal RNA", at positions 35 to 154 of the family's 154-position model. The record is from RNAcentral.
GAUGAAGAACGCAGCGAAAUGCGAUAAGUAAUGCGAAUUGCAGAAUUCCAGUGAGUCAUCGAAUCUUUGAACGCAUAUUGCGCCCUCUGGUAUUCCGGAGGGCAUGCCUGUCCGAGCGUGAUUACUAUCUUCAAGCACAGCUUGUUUGUUGAGCCCAAUUGUCCCUUUAAUUGGGGACAGGCUUGAAAUGCAGUGGAGAUGCUCAAGGUUUGGGUGCCCAAGUGUAUGGAGCUUUGUCACACGCUUUGGUGGCCCCAGCCCUGGCAUUCUGGUGGGAUCUUUCUUUUUGGGUGAAUUUAUUUACCUAAGAUUUAACCUCGGAUCAGGUAGGGAUACCCGCUGAACUUAAGCAUAUCAAUAAGCGGAGGA